Molecule: ribosomal RNA, 1090 nt
Filed under: Helicobacter pylori
Lineage: Bacteria; Pseudomonadati; Campylobacterota; Epsilonproteobacteria; Campylobacterales; Helicobacteraceae
Description: bacterial SSU rRNA
Rfam family: Bacterial small subunit ribosomal RNA
Source: RNAcentral
CCAGUAGGGAAUAUUGCUCAAUGGGGGAAACCCUGAAGCAGCAACGCCGCGUGGAGGAUGAAGGUUUUAGGAUUGUAAACUCCUUUUGUUAGAGAAGAAAAUGACGGUAUCUAACGAAUAAGCACCGGCUAACUCCGUGCCAGCAGCCGCGGUAAUACGGAGGGUGCAACCCUUACUCGGAAUCACUGGGCGUAAAGAGCGCGUAGGCGGGAUAGUCAGUCAGGUGUGAAAACCUAUGGCUUAACCAUAGAACUGCAUUUGAAACUACUAUUCUAGAGUGUGGGAGAGGUAGGUGGAAUUCUUGGUGUAGGGGUAAAAUCCGUAGAGAUCAACAGGAAUACUCAUUGCGAAGGCGACCUGCUGGAACAUUACUGACGCUGAUUGCGCGAAAGCGUGGGGAGCAAACAGGAUUAGAUACCCUGGUAGUCCACGCCCUAAACGAUGGAUGCUAGUUGUUGGAGGGCUUAGUCUCUCCAGUAAUGCAGCUAACGCAUUAAGCAUCCCGCCUGGGGAGUACGGUCGCAAGAUUAAAACUCAAAGGAAUAGACGGGGACCCGCACAAGCGGUGGAGCAUGUGGUUUAAUUCGAAGAUACACGAAGAACCUUACCUAGGCUUGACAUUGAGAGAAUCCGCUAGAAAUAGUGGAGUGUCUGGCUUGCCAGACCUUGAAAACAGGUGCUGCACGGCUGUCGUCAGCUCGUGUCGUGAGAUGUUGGGUUAAAACCCGCAACGAGCGCAACCCCCUUUCUUAGUUGCUAACAGGUCAUGCUGAGAACUCUAAGGAUACUGCCUCCGUAAGGAGGAGGAAGGUGGGGACGACGUCAAGUCAUCAUGGCCCUUACGCCUAGGGCUACACACGUGCUACAAUGGGGUGCACAAAGAGAAGCAAUACUGCGAAGUGGAGCCAAUCUUCAAAACACCUCUCAGUUCGGAUUGUAGGCUGCAACUCGCCUGCAUGAAGCUGGAAUCGCUAGUAAUCGCAAAUCAGCCAUGUUGCGGUGAAUACGUUCCCGGGUCUUGUACUCACCGCCCGUCACACCAUGGGAGUUGUGUUUGCCUUAAGUCAGGAUGCUAAAUUAGCUACUGCCC